This 23-nucleotide non-coding RNA is filed under the name Arabidopsis thaliana (thale cress). The record is from RNAcentral. Lineage: Eukaryota; Viridiplantae; Streptophyta; Magnoliopsida; Brassicales; Brassicaceae.
CCACCCGCAAAACCACCUGUUGC